CAAGGCGAACGGAAAGGCCCUUUUUUUGUGGGGUGCUCGAGUGGCGAACGGGUGAGUAACACGUGAGUAACCUGGCCUUGACUUUGGGAUAACUUCAGGAAACUGGGGCUAAUACCGGAUAGGAGCUCCUGCUGCAUGGUGGGGGUUGGAAAGUUUCGGCGGCUGGGGAUGGACUCGCGGCUUAUCAGCUUGUUGGUGGGGUAGUGGCUUACCAAGGCUUUGACGGGUAGCCGGCCUGAAAGGGUGACCGGCCACAUUGGGACUGAGAUACGGCCCAGACUCCUACGGGAGGCAGGCAGUGGGGAAUAUUGCACAAUGGGCGGAAGCCUGAUGCAGCAACGCCGCGUGCGGGAUGACGGCCUUCGGGUUGUAAACCGCUUUCGCCUGUGACGAAACGUGAAUGACGGUAAUGGGUAAAGAAGCACCGGCUAACUACGUGCCAGCAGCCGCGGUGAUACGUACGGUGCGAGCGUUGUCCGGAUUUAUUGGGCGUAAAGGACUCGUAGGCGGAUGAUCGCGUCGGAAGUGCAAUCUUGGGGCUUAACCCUGAGCGUGCUUUCGAUACGGGUUGACUUGAGGAAGGUAGGGGAGAAUGGAAUUCCUGGUGGAGCGGUGGAAUGCGCAGAUAUCAAGAGGAACACCACUGGCGAAGGCGGGUCUUUGUGGCCUUUCCCUGACGCUGAGGAGUGAGAACGCGGGGAGCCGAACCGGCUUAGAUACCCUGGUAGUUCACGCUGUAAACGGUGGAUAUUAGGUGUGGGGUGCAUUCCACGGGUUCCCAUGCCGUAGCUAACGCUAUAAGUACCUCGCCUGGGGAGUUCGGCCGCAAGGCUAAAACUCAAAGGAAUUGACGGGGCCCCGCACCAACGGCGGAGCCUGCGGAUUAAUUUGAUGCAACGGGUAGAACCUUACCCGGGUUUGACAUGGAUCGGGAGUGCUCAGAGAUGGGUGUUCCUCUUUUGGGGUCGGUUCACAGGUGGUGCAUGGCUGUCGUCAGCUCGUGUCGUGAGAUGUUGGGUUAAGUCCCGCAACGAGCGCAACCCUUGUUC
Molecule: ribosomal RNA, 1049 nt
Filed under: uncultured organism
Description: SSU rRNA
Rfam family: Bacterial small subunit ribosomal RNA
Source: RNAcentral